AAAGGCUGGUGGGGGUUUGUUUUGGUGUUGUUUUUGCUCACAGGCUUUCGAGCGUUUUCCUUAUAAAACGGCGUUUUUACCGUUUCUUCCUGCAGUAAAUAUAAACAACGACAGUAUUCAGGAAGAAAACCAAACAUUGCAGAUAUUUUAUCAUAACUCUGGUUUUACGCGGCCGAUCAACACGAUUUAAAAACUGGUAUAAAGUCCACACUUUGUCCGUCAGUUGUUCCGUCUGUCCUGCUCACAUCUCCAAUGGUUGUACACGUUGUCAUUAACGUGGCUUCACUCCACAUCAGCCGCUUUGCUAAAACACCGGUGUCGCACAUAAGGACGCUGUCAUAGCCUGUCAGCCACGUUGAUCAGCUGCGUAUAUACGAAUGUGAAUCGCGUGAUUGGCUGGACUACGGGAUAAGGUGGCCUCGUUCUGAUCCCAUACGGGAGCAGCCAGUCACUGACUAACACUGCAGAACAGAAUCGUUAAAGUUUUCAUUUUAAUUUCAAUUCAGGUGAUUUUUCUUUUUUUUUUUUUUUUUGUGCGCAACGCAGAUUUUCUGUGCAGAGACCGUGCCAGCAGUGCGCAAUUGUGCCAGCAGUGCGCAAUUGUGCACGCGCGCAGCUUAGAGGGAACAUUGCUUGCGAGUGUCGGGUCUUUUGUGUUUGUAGAAAAUGUUUCAUAUCUUUGAGUUGAGCUCAUGGAAAACAGGAGCAAAAACAAAAGUGUUGCGUUUAUAUUUUUGUUCAGUGUAAAUGAUAAAACAUCAGGUUUGACCCAGAAUACAGUUUGAUCCACAUGAUGGCGCUGUGAAAAGUGCGCGCUGUACUGGUGGCACCAGUGUCCCCAGCCCACAGACCAGUGCUGCCACUAAUCGAGAUUCAUUAGCAGCAUCUAAAUGCUGUUUAAAGGUGGACUUCAUCUGUCACACAGGAGCAGUUUGGCUUCGCUUUGCUUAAAUAAUGACCUGGUGUAUUUCUGUAUACACACCUGCUAAGGAUCAGGUGACUCUUAUAAUAAAAGGUUAAUACGU
Long non-coding RNA from Astatotilapia calliptera (eastern happy), 1025 nucleotides. The record is from Ensembl. NCBI's taxonomy places the organism in Eukaryota, Metazoa, Chordata, Actinopteri, Cichliformes, Cichlidae.